Molecule: non-coding RNA, 142 nt
Filed under: Andreprevotia lacus
Lineage: Bacteria; Pseudomonadati; Pseudomonadota; Betaproteobacteria; Neisseriales; Chitinibacteraceae
Also listed under: 1 other name
Description: TPP sequence
Rfam family: TPP riboswitch aptamer (THI element)
About the family: Vitamin B(1) in its active form thiamin pyrophosphate (TPP) is an essential coenzyme that is synthesised by coupling of pyrimidine and thiazole moieties in bacteria. The previously detected thiamin-regulatory element, thi box was extended, resulting in a new, highly conserved RNA secondary structure, the THI element, which is widely distributed in eubacteria and also occurs in some archaea.
Source: RNAcentral
CAACAUCGCUCGGGGUGUUUGCUGCGGCAGACUGAGAGGCCGCCGGGCUUGCCUGCACGGGAAUGCGCGCAGACAGGCUCAUGACCAACCCGUUGAACCUGAUCCGGAUCAUGCCGGCGUAGGAAAGCCGCUACCGCCCCUG